GCUAGUUGCAAAGCUUCCGGUUCUGGGGGAAGGCGUGGCUUCCGCGCUCUUUGAAAUGUCCGGCGCCGGAAUGUCUGGGUGCUUUGGUUGGAGAGGGUCCCAUUUCCAGUCAUUCUUCAGCCUGGUGAUUCCCGCGCUCCCCUGAGGAGCAUAUGAAGUACGUCGGUUCUGCCAGGUUGGAACGCGCUGCUGGACACUCGGCCGUAAGGCGGAUCCCGGAUCCCCUCCCACUCCGACCCUUCCCUCCAGAAGGGCCGGUUCCCAAACGGCCCCUUUAGACACAUCCAAGCGGUUGCCGACGGCCCUCACGAUGAAAACUGCUGUCCGUUGGUGAAGGCAGCCUCUUCUGUGCUCCUCGCCGCUGACUUCCUGAGGCGGACCUACCUGUGGAGGCAUACCAGGAACCAGACGAUGACCCCCUCCAAAAGUUGGGUCUUUGAGGAGAGCUACUAACUUGGGUUCCUGGUACACCCUCUACAUGCAGUGGUGAAGCUUAUCUAACAGUCAUUCAUAGAAUCAGUUUGGGAAGGGGAAUUUUCACUGAACUCUCAUAGAGAAACUGUGUUUUAGAUAACAGAAAGUUCUGCACGGUUAAAAUGGAACAGAAAUUUUUUUGCACAGAAAUUAGGAUUACCGAAAAUACUGAAGAAAGACUACCUCUGAUUGGACUCUUCUCAAGGAAUUAAUAAUUCAAGAACUAAGGAAAGAAAAAAGUGAUUAUAUGAAAAUACUGAAGUUGAUCGUAGCAGCUGAAGGCUGAUCCUGUGUGGGUAAAUGUAAACGCUGAAUUCCCACAUUCCAAUGUGCGACCUGGGAUUAAGGCAGCAAUUGAGCAGGAAUGUCACAUAAAUGGAAUCAUACUGUGUCCGGAAUUGGUGGGUUCUUGGUCUCACUGACUUCAAGAAUGACGCCAUGGGCCCUCGCGGUGAGUGUUACAGCUCUUAAGGUGGCGCGUCUGGAGUUUGUUCCUUCUGAUGUUCGGAUGUGUUCGGAGUUUCUUCCUUCUGGUGGGUUCGUGGUCUCGCUGGCUCAGGAGUGAAGCUGCAGACUUUCGCGAUUUCAUCUCUCUCUCUGCUAUGGACACAGAUGGCUUCACUCCAUCCUGUAUUCUUCGGACCAUGAUAAAAUUCCAGACUCUCGGUAGUUUUUGCGUUCCAAGAAGUAGAGCCUAGAGUGGUGGCCUAUAAUUACAGUUACUCAGGAGGCUGAGGCAGGAGGAUCCUUUGAGUCCAGCAGUUUGAGGCCAGCCUGGACACCACAGCAAGACCACCAAUAAAUAAAUAAAUAAAUGGAACAUGUU
Long non-coding RNA from Homo sapiens (human), 1300 nucleotides. Ensembl annotates it as UBL7 divergent transcript. Its record names the gene UBL7-DT. Lineage: Eukaryota; Metazoa; Chordata; Mammalia; Primates; Hominidae. The record is from Ensembl.